UGGAGUAAAGAAGGAAGAAUAACUCGACAGAAAGAGUUGUUGGGGAGAUUGGCAUACCUGAGAUAUCUGGAGAUGGCUAGAAACAAAGAAGAAACGUGGGGGCUACCAGUAUCAGCCAGGUCCUUGGUGCUAUCACAGCCCCACAAUAGCCAUCGCUCCCUGCAGCUUUCGCAGUGGAGGCCCCUCAGUGUUUGUUGGCAUGGACACCAGCACACACUGGCCACUUUCACCACUGAGGAAGGAGCUGCUUUUUUUUUGCCAGCCUGGGCCUAGGGUUUCCACUCAUCCCAGUCCCUUGCUCCAGACCCCAGUUCUGAGACUGAGUACCUGCACUGCGAAGGCCAGAACCACUACUGCAGUUUUAAGUUGAACUGGAAGAACACCCUGUGAAGAGGAAGGCAGAGAUUGGAAUGAUGCAGAAGAAGCCAGCGAAUCUAGGAGAGAGGCAUGAAUUUCCCCUUCAUAGUCCUUGUAAGGAGCCAACCCUGCUGCACCUUUAUCUCAAAUGUCCAGCUUCCAGAACUGCAAGACAGUAAAUUUCUGCUGUUUAAGACAUUCAGUUUUUGGUACUUUGUUAAAGCAGCCAUAGCAAACUAAUAUAUCCUUUAUAUCUCCUUUUUCUGUUGGGGUGAGUGGCAUUUGGGAAGGCAUAAGAACUGUAAGAAAGAUAUGGUAAUGAUAUCUACUUCAGAGAGUUAUUAAGAAAAUUAAAUAUGUUAAGGCAGCAGUCUCCAACAUUUUCGGCACCAGGGACUGGUUUAGUGGAAUAAAAUUUCUCCACAGACUGGCAUGGGGGGGUUGGUUUCCAAAUGAUUCAGUGCAUUACACUUAUUGUGCAUUUUAUUAUUAUUAUUAUACUGUAAUAUAUAGUGAAAUAAUUAUACAACUCACCAUAAUGUAGAAUCGAUGGGAUCCCUGAGCUUGUUUUCAUGCAACUAGACAGUCCCAUCUGGGGAUGAUGGAAGACAGUGACAGCUCAUCAGGUAUUAGAUUCUCAUAAGGAGAGCACAACCUAGAGCUCUUGCAUGUGCAGUUCACAAAACAUUUUGAGUUCCUAUAAGAAUCCAAUGCUGCCACUGAUCUGACUGGAGGUGGAGGUCGGAAGGUAACGCAAGUGGAGUUCAAAUGGUAAUGCAAGCGGUGGGGAGCGGUUGUACAAGUGAAGCUUCCCUAGCUCAAUCUCUGCUCACCUCCUGCUGUGAGGCCUAGUUCCUAGUAAGCCACUGACCAGCACCAGUCUGUGGCUUGGGGGAUGGGGACCCCUGAGUUAAGCAUAUAAAGUGCUUAGGAAAGUGCGUGGAGCAUAGUACUCAAUGUGUCUUACUUGUUAUUACCAUCCUUUUUCCAUUGAGCAAGCUACAUGGUAUUUUUGGAUGUAAAAGCAGAGGAUUAGACAAAAUUCUCCCACAUCCUUUCUUUCUCAGAAAUUCAAUUAUUCUAUUUUUUAUAUUUUAAGAUUAGAAAGCUCUUUUGUUCAUGUCACUACAAAUCAAUCCAUAAAAUUAUAUUACCUUCCAUGCAAUUCAACAAAGCACAGGAGAGGGAGAAAUCAAAUCUGGAGAAAAGAUGAGUAAGUGAAGACUUCACAGACUAUAUCAUGGCUGGAGUAAAAUUUGGAGGUUGAAUUUAUCACCCAGGAAAGAGCAGAGAUAACUAUUCCAGGACUUGAAAGCACCAGGGCCAGAAAAAGACAGUUAACAAGAUAGAAUAUCGGGACAGUUAACAAGAUAGAAUAUUGCUUGUUGCUGCAAAUGUUUCUGGAGCCUAAAAUUAUAGGGCAAGCAAAAGGAGAUAUAGAUAACAGAAAAUAUCUGGGCCAGAUUUUGCCAGAACAAAGGGAGACUGUUGAGUUAGAGAUGGAAGCUUCAAAGAACAGAGAAAACUGCAAUAGGUAAUAUAAUUUUGAAUUCUAAAGAUCUCUAACAUGUAAUGAGAGUUUACCAUAUGCCAGGCCCGAUUCUAAGUACUUUUACAUGUAUUAACAAAUUUAAUACUCAUGACAACACUGUUACAUGAAUAUUAUUUUAGCUUCACUUUACAAGAAUAGAAACCCUGGCACCUAGAGCUCCAGGAAGAUGUGAAAGAUCAUAUAAACUAGUAACAAAGCUGUAGUUUGAUACAGUUUUGAUAUAGUUUUAUAGUUGGAUAUAGUUUGGGUUCCAAAAAGUAAACGUGUUCACUUCCAUUAUGCUACAGCAAAGGUUAUCAGGUGCUAAAUGCAGACUAGGUGGGGGGAAGUAUAUCAGAGCAGACACUAAUUAUCAUGUAGAAAUCCUAUACUGUGUGUUUUUCCUUUAGCUGUUCAAAUACCACAUUUGUUUUGCAAAUUUUUUUUCCCAAUACCCUCACCAGAAGUAAUCUCCCCUCUUGUAUAUUCAUUUACUACCCUUUUUGGUAAAUAGUAUAUAGUUUAUAACAUUUUUGAAAUUUGUACCAAGGUGGACUUCACUGCCUUAGCUUUUUUACAUGGGUUAACACUUUAACAUUGAGACCUGUACAUGAACAGUGUUUUGUAAAUAAGAAGUGCAAAAUAAGCAUCUAAUGAAUAAUUAGACAGAAAGAAAAGAACGUAAGACAACAGUGAUAUAUUUUUGGAAGUCAGUAGUCAACCAAAGAGAUGAUAACUGAGUAACCUGUAGCACUUUCUGAAUAAGCAAAGAAAGGUGGAAAGUAAACUGGUUUCCAGAAAACAUUUUCUAAAGAUUUAGACACUGGUAGCCUUGGGUUUUGGAAUUAAGGAAGGGUGGCUACAAUAGGCAGGGAAGAUGAGGUCCAGUAACUUAGACCUGAAAUCUUACUGUCUGUAUUAGUCUGUUCUCAUAUUGCUAUAAAGAAAUACCUGCGAUUGGGUAAUUUAUAAAGGAAAGGGGUUUAGUUGACUCACAGUUCCCCAGGCUCUACGGAAAGCAGCCUGGCCAUCUGUUCAGCUUCUGAAAAGGCCUCAGGAGUCUUACAAACAUGGAGGAAGGCGAAGGGGAAGCAGACUUGUCUUACAUAGUAAGACAAGUAGGAGGAAGACGGGGAAGGUGCUACACAAUUUUAAAACAGCACUGAGGGGAUGAUGCGAACCCAUUCAUGAGACUUCUGCCCCCGUGAUCCAAUCCCUCCCACCAGGCCCCACCUCCAACACUGGGGAUGUAAACUCAACAUGAGAUUUGGUAGGAACACACAUCCAAACCAUAUUCCUGUCCUUUCCUAGAAAUCUAAAUGUCUCCUUUUGCUGGAAACCAUGUGUUGACAUUUCCUUAGCACAUUUUUGGGUACCACAUCGUUUAGCUUCAUCCCAGGUUAACAUUCCACUCUAAGCACUUAAGGUGUGUAAAGUCCUUGCUCUAAUUUCUCCUUGGUACACUGUCCUGUAUUCCCUCACUUGGUCUUCCCUAGUACAAUCGUUCCUGUUAUCUGGCUGUUCUACAGAACUUGCCCUGAAUUGUAAAAACAAAUUCUGUGUGUGAGAUGAUACUGACCAAAUUUGCUUCAUAUGAAAAAAAACAGUUCAAGAUGUUUAUGUAACAUGGGAUUUCCACACACUGAUCUUCCCCUUAUUUUAUAAUUCAAUUUUAAUGAUAUAAACUACAAGUUGUUGAGAAAAUCCAUUGAGUGACUCUUUCCCAAUUAAACAAAAUAGCCCAUCAGAUCUGCAUCUUCAAUGGUCAAAUAAAACAUAUUCCUUCUUGAGAAAGUCCAUUGAGUGGCUCUUUUCCAAUUAAAUGAAAGUCUAUCAGAUCUGCAUCCUCAAAGGUCAAAUGAAACCUAUCCCUGAACGAGGGGGUUUAUUCUUUAGCUAUACUUAAAGGAAUUUCCUGGUGUUCACACAUUUCUUUUCUAUGUUCUAUUUUUGAAGGCUUUUUUUUCUUGGCUCUUAUGUGUUUUACUUGAA
Molecule: long non-coding RNA, 3880 nt
Organism: Pan troglodytes (chimpanzee)
Lineage: Eukaryota; Metazoa; Chordata; Mammalia; Primates; Hominidae
Exons: 3
Source: RefSeq, a predicted model, not a curated record